CCUACGGGGGGCAGCAGUGGGGAAUAUUGCACAAUGGGCGCAAGCCUGAUGCAGCCAUGCCGCGUGUGUGAAGAAGGCCUUCGGGUUGUAAAGCACUUUCAGCGGGGAGGAAGGCGUUAAGGUUAAUAACCUUGGCGUUUGACGUUACCCGCAGAAGAAGCACCGGCUAACUCCGUGCCAGCAGCCGCGGUAAUACGGAGGGUGCAAGCGUUAAUCGGAAUUACUGGGCGUAAAGCGCACGCAGGCGGUCUGUCAAGUCGGAUGUGAAAUCCCCGGGCUCAACCUGGGAACUGCAUUCGAAACUGGCAGGCUAGAGUCUUGUAGAGGGGGGUAGAAUUCCAGGUGUAGCGGUGAAAUGCGUAGAGAUCUGGAGGAAUACCGGUGGCGAAGGCGGCCCCCUGGACAAAGACUGACGCUCAGGUGCGAAAGCGUGGGGAGCAAACAGGAUUAGAUACCCGAGUAGUC
RNAcentral lists this ribosomal RNA (465 nucleotides) under uncultured Klebsiella sp. RNAcentral's name for it is "bacterial SSU rRNA". It matches the Rfam family "Bacterial small subunit ribosomal RNA", at positions 338 to 795 of the family's 1533-position model. The record is from RNAcentral. Lineage: Bacteria; Pseudomonadati; Pseudomonadota; Gammaproteobacteria; Enterobacterales; Enterobacteriaceae.